This 258-nucleotide ribosomal RNA is filed under the name uncultured bacterium. RNAcentral's name for it is "partial small subunit ribosomal RNA". It matches the Rfam family "Bacterial small subunit ribosomal RNA", at positions 26 to 285 of the family's 1533-position model. The record is from RNAcentral.
AGGAUGAACGCUGGCGGCGUGCUUAACACAUGCAAGUCGAACGGAAAGGCCCGCUUGCGGGUACUCGAGUGGCGAACGGGUGAGUAACACGUGGGCAACCUGCCCUCAGCUCUGGGAUAACUCCGGGAAACCGGUGCUAAUACUGGAUAUCGACUUCUGCCUCGCAUGGGGUGUUGUUGAAAGUUUUUCGGCUGGGGAUGGGCCCGCGGCCUAUCAGCUUGUUGGUGGGGUGAUGGCCUACCAAGGCGACGACGGGUA